RNAcentral lists this ribosomal RNA (207 nucleotides) under uncultured bacterium. Its description in RNAcentral is "partial 16S ribosomal RNA". It matches the Rfam family "Bacterial small subunit ribosomal RNA", at positions 568 to 774 of the family's 1533-position model. The record is from RNAcentral.
CGUGUAGGUGGUUAGAUAAGCCAGAUGUGAAAGCUUCCGGCUUAACCGGAAAACUGCAUUUGAAACUGUUUAGCUUGAGUGCGAGAGAGGGUAGCGGAAUUCCCAGUGUAGCGGUGAAAUGCGUAGAUAUUGGGAAGAACACCAGUAGCGAAGGCGGCUACCUGGCUCGCAACUGACGCUAAUGCGCGAAAGCGUGGGGAGCAAACA